This 406-nucleotide ribosomal RNA is filed under the name uncultured bacterium. Its description in RNAcentral is "partial 16S ribosomal RNA". It matches the Rfam family "Bacterial small subunit ribosomal RNA", at positions 30 to 526 of the family's 1533-position model. The record is from RNAcentral.
AUUGAACGCUGGCGGCAGGCCUAACACAUGCAAGUCGAACGAGUGGCGGACGGGUGAGUAAUGUCUGGGAAACUGCCUGAUGGAGGGGGAUAACUACUGGACACUGUAGCUAAUACCGCACACCAUCAGAUGUGCCCCGAUGGGAUUAGAUAGUUGGUGGGGUAAAGGCUCACCAAGACGAAGAUCCCUAGCUGGUCUGAGAGGAUGACCAGCCAAACUGGAACUGAGACACGGUCCAGACUCCUACGUGAGGCAGCAGUGGGGAAUAUGGCACAAUGGGCGCAAGCCUGAUGCAGCCAUGCCGCGUGUAUGAAGAAGGCCUUCGGGUUGUAAAGUACUUUCAGCGGGGAGGCGUUACCCGCAGAAGAAGCACCGGCUAACUCCGUGCCAGCAGCCGCGGUAAUUC